RNAcentral lists this ribosomal RNA (450 nucleotides) under uncultured bacterium. RNAcentral describes it as "partial 16S ribosomal RNA". It matches the Rfam family "Bacterial small subunit ribosomal RNA", at positions 354 to 796 of the family's 1533-position model. The record is from RNAcentral.
GUGGGGAAUAUUGGACAAUGGGCGAAAGCCUGAUCCAGCCAUGCCGCGUGUGUGAAGAAGGUCUUCGGAUUGUAAAGCACUUUAAGUUGGGAGGAAGGGCAGUAAGUUAAUACCUUGCUGUUUUGAUGUUACCAACAGAAUAAGCACCGGCUAACUUCGUGCCAGCAGCCGCGGUAAUACGAAGGGUGCAAGCGUUAAUCGGAAUUACUGGGCGUAAAGCGCGCGUAGGUGGUUCAGCAAGUUGGAGGUGAAAUCCCCGGGCUCAACCUGGGAACUGCCUCCAAAACUACUGAGCGAGAGUACGGUAGAGGGUAGUGGAAUUUCCUGUGUAGCGGUGAAAUGCGUAGAUAUAGGAAGGAACACCAGUGGCGAAGGCGACUACCUGGACUGAUACUGACACUGAGGUGCGAAAGCGUGGGGAGCAAACAGGAUUAGAAACCCUGGUAGUCC